UUUCCGUAGGUGAACCUGCGGAAGGAUCAUUCAUAAUAAGUGUUUUAUGGCACUUUUUUAAAUCCAUAUCCGCCUUGUGUGCAAUGUCAGGGUUGAUUCUUCUCUCGAGAGGAUCAACCCCAAACAUCAACUAUAUCUCAACUCUUUGUCUGAAAAAUAUUAUGAAUAAAACAAUUCAAAAUACAACUUUCAACAACGGAUCUCUUGGCUCUC
This 213-nucleotide unclassified non-coding RNA is filed under the name plant metagenome. Its description in RNAcentral is "partial contains small subunit ribosomal RNA, internal transcribed spacer 1, and 5.8S ribosomal RNA". The record is from RNAcentral.